Molecule: long non-coding RNA, 604 nt
Organism: Calidris pugnax (ruff)
Lineage: Eukaryota; Metazoa; Chordata; Aves; Charadriiformes; Scolopacidae
Exons: 3
Source: RefSeq, a predicted model, not a curated record
AAACAGUAAGCCAAAAAGACCACAGCAAAAAUGAACCCUCUGUAGCUCAUGUUUGGGUGGAGGUACGUGUUACUGUUGGAACUUAGAUUGUUUAUAUGAUUUUUGUCAAAUAUCUUUCAGCAGAGCAGCAUUUUUUAGCUGUUUCUGAUGAUCUUGGAGUACUGCACAUUUUGGAAAUCAGUCAGGCACUAAGUGACGCUUCGAGGAAUGAGCAUGCCAAUGUACUUGAUUAUUUUGAAAGAGAAGUCAAAUAUCUGAAGCACUGUGAAGAAGAGUUUCAAGAGUAUCAAGAGUUUCAAGCCAAAACAGAAUCAAAAUGGAGCUGGAGACACAGAGAGAGAAAACAUGUAUGACUACUCUACAGAAAACAAAAGAAGAUAUGGAGGAGCAAGAAAAUGCAGACUAUAUUGUGUUUCUGGACCUGGAGAUGGUAAUGGAUUUAGGACUAGUAAAUGGACAAGAAAUACUUUUCUCAUCAGAUGCUUAGAGCCCAUUAUUACCUUUAGAACCAGCAAGUUUAUUUCAGGGCCUCUUUAUUUCAGCAGAACAUGUUUAGCUUCAGAAAUAAAGCAUCUUGCAGUUAGAGAUCAUUGUUUCACUAACU